UUUCUAACUUUGGCAGCACAUAUUCGAAAAUUGGAACGAUACAGAGAAGAUUAGCAUGGCCCCUGCGCAAGGAUGACACGCAAAAUCGUGAAGCGUUCCUAAUUUUU
This 107-nucleotide small nuclear RNA is filed under the name Hofstenia miamia. Lineage: Eukaryota; Metazoa; Xenacoelomorpha; Acoela; Hofsteniidae. The record is from RNAcentral.